UAUGUGAUCGUCUCUCGCAUAUCAAUAAGCGGAGGAAAAGAAACUAACAAGGAUUCCCCUAGUAACGGCGAGUGAAGCGGGAAGAGCUCAAAUUUGAAAUCUUAAAGGGUUUCCCUUUACGAAUUGUAGUUUAAAGAAGUGUUUUCUGUUGAGGUUUUGGUAAAAGUUCUUUGGAAUAGGACAUCAUAGAGGGUGAGAAUCCCGUAUUUGACCUUUACUUUCAACUUUGUGAUACACUUUCAAAGAGUCAGGAUUGUUUGGGAAUGCAGUCCAAAAUGGGUGGUAAAUUUCAUCUAAAGCUAAAUAUUGGCGAGAGACCGAUAGCGAACAAGUACCGUGAGGGAAAGAUGAAAAGAACUUUGAAAAGAGAGUUAAACAGUACGUGAAAUUGUCAAAAGGGAAGCGUUUGACACCAGUGUUGUUUUUCUGAAAAUCAAUUAAAGAACUGUUUAUGCUAAGCUGUUUAGACUUUAUCAGCUAUCUGUUUAGUUUUGAGCUUUUCUUUAAUGCACUUUUCAGUUAACAAGUCAACAUCAAUUUCUUUUGCUGUAAAAAAGCUUGAGGAAGGUGGCUUGAGAUUCGUCUUAAGUGUUUAUAGCCUCUUGCCUAUGCAGUCGGAGAGAUUGAGGUCUGCAGCGUAGAUCCUUCGGGGCUAAAUGCAUUUGUGCUAAGUUAUAGCAUUUUAUAGACAACUUGUUGACUAUGAUUUGUCUUGUAGCUUACUCGCUUAUGUUAUUUUACCUACGCUUAGGAUGUUGAACGCGCACAGAGUCUC
This 775-nucleotide ribosomal RNA is filed under the name uncultured Neocallimastigales. RNAcentral describes it as "partial large subunit ribosomal RNA". It matches the Rfam family "Eukaryotic large subunit ribosomal RNA", at positions 24 to 635 of the family's 3401-position model. The record is from RNAcentral. Lineage: Eukaryota; Fungi; Neocallimastigomycota; Neocallimastigomycetes; Neocallimastigales.